Molecule: long non-coding RNA, 1408 nt
Organism: Bombyx mori (domestic silkworm)
Lineage: Eukaryota; Metazoa; Arthropoda; Insecta; Lepidoptera; Bombycidae
Exons: 4
Source: RefSeq, a predicted model, not a curated record
UACACACAUGGUUGCUUUGCAAGUGUGAACAGAGCGAGGUGCGCUGCCGCAGGUUCCCGGGCCAGUCGUCCACAGACCUCUGACUGCGAAGCUCAUAUCACAUUGACGCACAUACCUACGCCUGUCUGGAUCGCUCAAGUUCAUUUUUAAUAUUUAAUAAAACAAGAAAUUAAUUCGCCGGUUGCCGUGCUCCCCAAAGGAGUUCACAUCCUGAAGCCAUUCGUUCUGCAAAGAUGGUUCUAGCUAUGAAUAAAAAGAUCACAGGAAAGGCACUUUACAAGCUUUUAUGGGGCCACAGAAGCAACCAAGCUUUCCAUCCAGAUCGAAAAGUACGACAAGUUACUUUGGUGCAGAGCAACAUGGAAAAAUUAAGGAAGUAAUGUAUAAGCUAGCUAAUAUAGAAAUAGAGUUGAUUAAUGUUAAUAUUAUCAAUGGUUAACGUUAUAUUAUAAUAAUAAAAUACUUUUUAUUAAUUGCGGUUUGCAAUUGAUGCAUGUUACUUACGUGUAGAUUUUUAUGUAAUCUUCAAGUAGUUAGGGAACUACUUUAGGUACGAAACAAAAUUUAUUAGUACAAGUACUUUUUCAUUUAGUAUAAUAACAUGUAUUGUAAUUUUUGUAAUAUAUAUUUUUAAUGUCACCUAUAAUACGUGCAUACAAAUAGAAUGUAAGUAGCAAUAUGUAUAGAACUUCAUUUGGUUUAUGUUAAGAUUAGGUUUGAUUAGAUGUUAGAAUGUAUUGUUGUUAAAUGACGCACGCUUAAUUAGGUACGUCUAUAGUUUUAUGAAAAAUUGUUUUUAGUUAGGGGUGUAAGUGGCUCUUCCUGGACCUCUUGAGCCAAAGUCAACCUCUCCUGCCCGCGGCGCACCCUGCCGACUAGCGAACGAGGCUCUGGCGGAGACGCGGCGGACUCAGCUCCGCGUGUCACUCGUGCUCAACAAUAACAACAAGCCGAGUGCACCAUCGCGUCUCUAGUUUAUUAGUUAUUUUUUAUAGGUUAAGUUUAUAUCCAGAUCAUACGAACGACGAAUAAUACUUCAAUUAUACUUACUAGUUUUAAGUCAUAUAUAAUCUCAUAUUUAUUAGAUACUAAAAUAAGCAUUGUGUAUCAAUGUUAGUGUAGGUUUUUUCUCAAUUUUGAGAUUAUAGUAUAUUAUUAAAGUAGACAUCUUGAUACGGCUCUUGAUGUGAACUAUGUCAUAAUCUACUCGUAAUUUUUAAGAUGUACUUAAUCCCUGCAUCACACGCACAUUACGUUAUACUCGUAAUAGAAUAAGUUACAUAUUUAGUGGAACUAAUGUUAUGUAAUGGAAUAAACUUCACAAGUCAUUUACAACAAUUUAAUAUUAAGGAUUCUUUCUAGUUUUUGUGUCUCGUAGUAAAUAAAAUAAAAACUGAGGUGUCGUAUA